UCUAUCUUUCAGAUUUUAGUGCCUCUUCAAAUCAGCCAAUGGUCAUCAAGAGUUUCUUUGGCUUGAAAAAUUCAUCAGCCUGAGGAAAAUGGGACGAUGAACCUCUCCACAUUCACCUAGGUUGUUCUCUGCCGUAAUAGACCUACCCAGCCCUAUGCUCAAAGCACUUCUAAGUUGGAAAGACCUACCACAAUUUAUGUUCCUCUCACCUUGGAGAGUACAGUGUCAACUCUCUGCUGUGAUAAGGCAUCAGAGGAAGAGGACAGAUCAUCUAGCGCUAAGCAAAGCUAUUUUAAGAAGCAGUGCCUCAUUGCCUACACGCUACAUAUCUUCGGGGAUCCUUGUACACCACAGAAUGGCCUCUGCUUGGCCCCGUGCCGCGGGCCAACUCGUACGCUUUCGCCAGGCGCCCGCCGCGAUGUCUGGCGACGGAGCCGCCGAACAGGUGAGAUGGGGAGGCCGGUGGGGCCUCAUGGCCACCGUCUCUCAGCCGGGCCGGCCCGGUCGGGAAGGGGCGGGACGAGGGGACGAGAGGUGCUGCGGGCGUGUCUGGGCCGAGGCUAAGGGGCAACGGGGAGGCGGGGAUGGGGAGGGGGCCGUGCCCUGACCCCCCGCCGAGCCGCGCGUUGGGCCGGAGGGGGCGGGGCCAGGCCAGUGAGGAAGCCCCCCAAAGCAGCCCCGCCCCGACUUUGGGUCCUCCUCCCGGGACCCGUAGGAGCGGCGGGUAAACCUUUCUGCAGGGGCUGGGGGGUCGGAGGGAGUCUCUUAGAGCCAACUUUGGUGGACGAUAGGAACUUCCCACGUUCCACUGUCCCGUUCCGUUCCACUGCUUCCCCUCCCCCUCCCGAGCAUCGGGACGUGACGCAUAAAGCCCGCUCAGUUUCGGGGGCUGCACGGGCCCCCGAGGUGGGGUCGUCGCCCCAGUGCCGUGAGCUCCCGGCCAUUUAAAAAGUUCAAAGUGCCGCGUGCCCUCGUGGUUGGUUCAGAGUCUCGGGAGCUCUAGGUUGAGUUUAGGACCCCUUUAUCCGGCUUAGAGACGUUUUGACUCGGAGGAGGUAGAGAGGCUCAUUCCCCUCGUGCUGUGUUCCUAAACUUGCUUCCUUAGUGCAAAUGGGAGUUUCGAGCUAGUUUGAAAUAGCUCGGCCUUUUGGGAAGUUAACCGCACUUUAGCGGGAAAUAAACGGUCAGUCUUCCUUUAUCCCUGGGACUCU
This 1211-nucleotide long non-coding RNA is filed under the name Phascolarctos cinereus (koala). Its description in RNAcentral is "lncRNA (ENSPCIG00000026404.2)". Lineage: Eukaryota; Metazoa; Chordata; Mammalia; Diprotodontia; Phascolarctidae. The record is from RNAcentral.